RNAcentral lists this long non-coding RNA (2352 nucleotides) under Gossypium barbadense (sea-island cotton). RNAcentral's name for it is "long non-coding RNA (GBAR_LNC019503)". The record is from RNAcentral. Lineage: Eukaryota; Viridiplantae; Streptophyta; Magnoliopsida; Malvales; Malvaceae.
CAGUAAUCAUCAGAGUGGAACUAAUCUGAACCAAGUGAAGUAGUUCAUUGUAUCAUAUUGGAUCUAUAAAAUACUGACUACAGAGACUGCUAUAAUCUAGCAUUUUCAGCAAAAAUUUUUUGUACCAAAGGAUUCUUUGGAUAAUCUUAUCUGUUAACUUUUAAUUUUAAAAUGUUGUGGUUAGCAGCAUCAAAGGGAAUUGAAUUUGGAUGUGAAAUCCUCGAGGCAGAGUACUCUCUUGUCGCUGAUAAAAUUGGACAGUUGCAAGACAAGGCUAGCUUUCUCUCUUAUUCUCUCUCUUUUUGCCCUCUCCAGAUGUUCACAUUCAGUUAUAUAAAUUGCAAUGAUAUGGCAAGUUACAUAAAGUUCAAUUACGCCAUUCAGCCAUUGUUAGCUGCAUGUUUCCUUUUUUUACUAGAAUGGACAAGUAGUCAUAUGGAUAUAACGAUCAACAUCUCUCAACUUAAUAGUGCUCAGUCAUGCAUUUGUAUCCAUUUAGUUACUAAAAUUAUAUGAAAAAUCUAGCAUAUAGAAAUAAGGUCAUAUUAGUCAUUCCUGUUCCUACAUAGUAGGAUUGAGGCCCAUUUAUUGAUUUUUGGGGCUUAAAAGUAGCAAAAUACCUUUUAUUUUUUAAGCCAUAUCAUUUUUCCCACUUUUCCUUUUAAACCCACUUUGGGAAAAUUAAGCAUUGCAUAUCCUUGUAGCGAACAACUCCAAAAAGCUAGAAGAUGAUGUUGGAUGUUGUUGUAUAAAUUAAAGUCAAAGCUUAAAACGUAUAUAGGACAAGAGAGAGGAUUCUUUUUGUACCUGUAGGAGAAAGAAAGUGGUAAUAGUUAUAGAGCUUGGAACACUAGGGAAGGUGUGAGAGUAGCCUUUAGUUUAUGCAUACAAAAAAUCCAUGUUGACUUUUAACUAGUGGUUAUGUUAGAAAAGUCAUUUCUCUAAGAAAGACAUAGAUGGGUUAAAACUCAGAUGCAAGAGGCAAAGAGACAUUAAUUUUGAUAAGGUGUGCCCAGAUAAAUAUAUCUUGUUUAUUAUAUUUUUAUUAUCAGUUGUGGUGUCUUUAUAAUUCACAAAUUAAUUUCGAGAGUUUGGCUGUAAGUCUCUGCUUGAUAUGUAGGAUGAAAAGGAGCGAGGAUGGAAAAUUUGUUAAUUUAAUGGUUAAGCUUCAAAGUAAGAAAGUGGUUUUGAAUCUUAACCAUUUGGUUAACAAAUUUUCUAUCACCACUCACUUCUAUCAUUGAUAAUUGUUAAAUUCUAUACUGAAGAAAUCUUCUAUUAAAUCAAGAGAAAGAAUACAUCAAGAAUAGUUUUUGAGAUGAACUUCUGCCACCAUAUAUAGGCAACAUGAAGCCGAUAACUGCUCAUAACAACUAACAAUUAUUAGUAACUAACAGCAACUAACAAUUAGCCUUAAUAGAAUUCUAACAUAAGUCAAUUCCUGACUCAACCAUACUCUAACAUUCUCCCAGUUUCUUUGUUGUUUGAACAUUUGUGAACCUCAUUGAGUGUGAAGACUCGAAGUGCUUGACGAAAUGAUUCAAACUGCUUAGGUGUAAUUGGCUUGGUAAGAACAUCCGCAAUUUGAUCUGAUGAUGGGACAAAGCUUACCUGCAGAACUCAAGUAAGAAUCUUUUCCCGAAUAAAGUGAUGAUCAAUUUCUACAUGUUUCAUUCGUGCAUUAUGUGUGGGGUUUGCAGCUAUAGCUACUGUUGAUGUAUUGUCGCACCAGAUCACAGGUAUCGACUGUGACAAACCAAUCUCAUCUACCAGUUGUUUAACCCACAAAAGCUCUGACACAUAGUUGGCGAGACUUCGAUAUUAUGCUUUAGAGGAUGACCUGGACACAACAUUUUGUUUCUUUGAACACCAUGCAACAGGGUUUGGCUCGAGGUACACGACAUACCCUGUGGUGGAAUGUCGAUCUUCAACAGACGAGGCCCAGUCAGCAUCUGAAUACCCAACAACCUCAACAUUCCCUUUGGUGAAAAUCAAACCAUGGUCAAUAGUCUCAAUAAGAUAUCUUAGCACACGUUUGACUGCUCUCCAAUGAGUCUCACUUGGACAAUUCAUAUACUGGCUCAACUUGUUAACACAAAAGGAUAAUUCUGGUCGAGUGAUGCACAAAUACUGGAGCAUCCCUACUGUACUUCGAUAUAGAGGAACAUCAGUGAAAUGAGAACUACCAUCUGAGACAAUUAAUUUUGGAACACUUACCAUAGGUGUAGGAACAGUUAUAGCUCCUAUCAUACCAGUCUUAGUAAGAAUUUCUAAUAUGUAUUUUUUCUGACUGAGCAACACCCCUUGCGCCAUAUGUUGUACUUCAAUACCUAAAAAAAAAAUCUAGUUGCC